This 659-nucleotide ribosomal RNA is filed under the name Bacillus amyloliquefaciens. Its description in RNAcentral is "bacterial SSU rRNA". It matches the Rfam family "Bacterial small subunit ribosomal RNA", at positions 74 to 717 of the family's 1533-position model. The record is from RNAcentral. Lineage: Bacteria; Bacillati; Bacillota; Bacilli; Caryophanales; Bacillaceae.
GGGAGCUUGCUCCCUGAUGUUAGCGGCGGACGGGUGAGUAACACGUGGGUAACCUGCCUGUAAGACUGGGAUAACUCCGGGAAACCGGGGCUAAUACCGGAUGGUUGUCUGAACCGCAUGGUUCAGACAUAAAAGGUGGCUUCGGCUACCACUUACAGAUGGACCCGCGGCGCAUUAGCUAGUUGGUGAGGUAACGGCUCACCAAGGCGACGAUGCGUAGCCGACCUGAGAGGGUGAUCGGCCACACUGGGACUGAGACACGGCCCAGACUCCUACGGGAGGCAGCAGUAGGGAAUCUUCCGCAAUGGACGAAAGUCUGACGGAGCAACGCCGCGUGAGUGAUGAAGGUUUUCGGAUCGUAAAGCUCUGUUGUUAGGGAAGAACAAGUGCCGUUCAAAUAGGGCGGCACCUUGACGGUACCUAACCAGAAAGCCACGGCUAACUACGUGCCAGCAGCCGCGGUAAUACGUAGGUGGCAAGCGUUGUCCGGAAUUAUUGGGCGUAAAGGGCUCGCAGGCGGUUUCUUAAGUCUGAUGUGAAAGCCCCCGGCUCAACCGGGGAGGGUCAUUGGAAACUGGGGAACUUGAGUGCAGAAGAGGAGAGUGGAAUUCCACGUGUAGCGGUGAAAUGCGUAGAGAUGUGGAGGAACACCAGUGGCG